Molecule: long non-coding RNA, 513 nt
Filed under: Parus major (Great Tit)
Lineage: Eukaryota; Metazoa; Chordata; Aves; Passeriformes; Paridae
Description: lncRNA (ENSPMJG00000004965.1)
Source: RNAcentral
AAAGGCUAAACCUUUUGUAUCCAGUUAAGUUGAAUGAGACCCUCAUGAGAAACCUUGAGAAACAUAAUUUCUGCUUUUUUGCCCAAUUGCAGAAUAGACACAAAUGUUGUAUAAGCUCACAAAUUUCUCUGCAGAAAACAGCAUUUGGAACACUGGAGCUUGGUUUCCAUAGCUAAUGGAAAUAUAGCUAAUCCAUGUUUUUUCUUGCUUCUUGAGGGACACAAGGCAUUUGUCUUUCUGUAGAAGAAAUGAGGAGCACUGCACAACACCCUGGGGCCUCCCAGUAGGAUUCUUGGGCAGAAACCACUAGAAGCUCAUGGAGGAGAAAACAGGUGCCAGAGAGAAAGCUGUAGCAAAUAUGCCACUGCCAGGCACUGAGGAAGAGGAGAGAACCCAGCAACGCAAAUGUGAAAAGAAAAACACUGAAUUUACAGAAACGACUCAAAAAGAAAUGGCUGGAAGGUUCCCAGAGCUGAACCCAUUACUGCCAACUGAUUGUAUUCACCUGAACAG